CAUCUAGUAAUGGUCCAAAACUAUUACAAGAAAUCUUGCAGAAUCAAUUUGAAGGCCUCAGUGGCAAUUUUGACCUUUCAGACAGGCAGCUGCAAAUUUCAACAUUUCAAAUAAUAAAUGUGAUAGGGAAAGGAUGGAGAGAAAUUGGAUUCUGGACUGCACAAAAUGGAAUCUCACAGCAAUUAAAUAAAACCAAACCUGCAACAGCACUUUCGGGCUCAGCGCAUGACCUAUAUCCUGUGAUUUGGCCAGGAGAGUCCACAGAGGUACCCCGGGGUUCUCAGAUUCCUGUAAGCGGGAAGAAACUUCAAGUUGGUGUGUGCACAAGUGGAUAUCCGGAAUUUAUGAAGGUCGAAAAGGAUUAUAUCACAGGUGCAACUAAAGCAAGUGGUUUUUCAGUUGAUCGAAGUAGCGAAGAUUACAAUGAUUUUGUCUACCAAGUUUAUCUUGAGGUAUGAAUACAUACAAGUGUAUUCCCAAUUGAUUUUCUUUAGUUAGUAACAAUUUGAGACCAUGAAGCAUCAUGCACACAUGUCAUUUAACAUGUUAGAGGCAAGAUACCAAAUAUUUUUAUUGGAUGAUGGAUGUUUUGAACUUAUUUCAUGCUGUACUUCAGAACCAUUGCCAUCCUUCUCUGCUUUCGAGCACUGGUCAUAUAAGCUUGUUCCAUUAUCUGUUUUCAGUAGUUUUUGUAAGAAGCCACCUAAAGAUGCCACAUGAUAUUUCGGUGCGUAACACCAGUUACAUGGUAUUAAAAUUCUGACAGCAACAGUAACCCCUUUUAUGAGAGGAGAUAGUACAAACAAUUAUUUUACAUGGCAACAACAUACGAAGCAAGUGCAACUAUCUAUUGAGUGCUACUCUUAAUUAAUUCUUUAUAUUCCGAACUCUAGCACUCUUACCAAAAGGAGACUCAAGGCAGAAACUAUUUUCUAUCAGCAAGCUAACAGUUUUUUUUUUUUUGCCCUUACAGAUAUAUGAUAUAGCAAUUGGAGAUAUAACAAUAAGGUAUAACCGAACUUUCUACGUCGACUUCACUCUGCCAUACACAGAAUCGGGAAUAGCAAUGAUUGUUCCAGUAAGGGAUAGCAUAAACAGGAACACAUGGAUUUUCUUGAAGCCACUAGCACCUGGCAUGUGGUUUGGAAGCGUUGUAUUCUUUAUCUACACCGGUGUGGUCGUAUUGAUAUUGGAAUUUCUAGGAAACAACAAGAAUGUUCGGGGGCCAAUUCCCAGCCAGCUGGGGAUUAUGAUCUUUUUCUCCAUAUUUGAAGGGAGUUGAGUACACUUACCACGAUCUAUCCAUUUCCUAUGUUGGUGCAUAAUAUACAACAUCAAGCUGAGAGGUUUCGUGUGAAGAACUAACAGCCACACAACUAUUAACAAACAUAUAAUGCAUAUGAUAUUUCCCGAACAUAUCUGGGUAACUUUGCAUUUAAAAAAAAACGGUAGCUUCAUCGAUACACUUAUAAUAUUAGAUAUUUAAUAUGCAGUAAACAGAGGAAAAAUAAUUAUCAUAGAAUCAUGUUGUACUAUAACUGACAAAAUAAUAUGAUAUGAAUGUUGCAUUUUUCAACUUUGGACUUGAGAUGGCCAAAAAUUAUCUAAUUUAUUUUAUUGUGACUUCUGCAGAAGAGCUUGUGCAACGCUUUCUGUCCCGGAUAGUUUUGAUCGUUUGGCUAGUAUUUCUGAUGGUGCUUACAUCAAGUUACACUGUGAGCUUGUCAUCAAUGCUAACUGUACAACAGCUUCAGCCAACAGUAACAGAUGUGCAUGAGCUCCUAAAAAGUGGAGAAUGUGUAGGAUAUCAACAUGGCUCAUACGUCAAGGGACUUUUAGAAGAGCUCAGUUUUGACAGGUUGAAGAUCAAGCCCUACGAUCCUGAUGAUUUUCACGAAGCACUUUCCCGAGGAAGCAACAAUGGUGGUAUUGCUGCUCUUGUGCAUGAGGUUCCGUACAUUAAACUAUUCCUGUCAAACCACUGCAAGGGGUACACAAUGGUGGGCCCAAUUUACAAGGCUGCAGGUUUUGGAUAUGUAAGUUUAACUACAUUAGAUAUGCUUCUUUCACACUAUAUACCUACAGAGAAAGUAACUAUAACAAAAUCAAUUGGUUCUCAAAAAAAAGUUAAUUCAACUAGCAAUCACAUAAAUACAUCUGAACAUCCUAUACUAAUUAUCUUGGUCUGAUAACCUACUAAAUUAUGGUUCCUACUGCCUACUAGCAAUCAUGUAUUCAUGUGAUAAGAGGUUAGGGCCAGACAGAUUACUAAAUAGUUUAUAAUGUUUGAUUAAGCUUAUAGAGUUAUACUUUUACCUCAGUCAGAUAAGAUAUGAUUCAGUUUUGAUGGUUGGUGUAAAUGAACAAUAAAAUGACCACAUUUGUUGCACAGGCAUUAUCAAAGGGAAAUCCCUUACUUAGGGACAUCUCAAAUGCAAUCCUCAACGUAACCGGGGGGGAUACUAUGAUCCAAAUUGAGAAGAAAUGGUUUGGGGAUCAAAACAAUUGCCAGAAUGUUGGCCCUCUCACUGGCUCAAGCACACUCACGUUUGCGAACUUCAGGGGACUAUUCAUACUUACUGGAGUUGCUUCAACUUCUUCCCUUUUGAUUGCAUUGAUAAUUUAUUUCUACAAAAAGAAGCACAAGUCAACAAAGAUCAUGUUAGACAAUACAAAUCGACCAGAAGAAAAUGGAAUAAAUGAGGAAAACAGUGAGCUGCAAGAAGGAAAUCAAGACUCAACAAGAGUUGAACAAAAUACACAGCGAGCAGGCCAAGAGGAAAAUGGGCUAGAACAGCAAACCAGUUUAGAACUGGCACCUGAGACAACCAUAGUUAUGUCCAGCAAUGGGUCAACUGUCAUUUCCAGGGGUAAAAGAACUACUGGCCUGCAAGUGGAGCUCAUGUGAAGUUCAAUACAUUUUUAAGAUCCUCUGUUCUCACAGUGAGCUUAGCUAAGAGUUAUUUGCGGCAGGGUUUUAAUUUGUAACCACUUAGAACUGCAGAAUCUCAUUUUAUUUGAUUGGAUACCAAUCUCAUGUUUUUCUCAAAUACAGCUUGAAUAAACCCCCAUCCAUUUUGCAUUUUCAAACUGACCAGUUGCAUUUUUAUAGCAGGCUUACUUUUGCCAUAACUCCCUUAUGAUUCCUGCAAUUUAAAUAAAUUACGUAUAUGUAUGUGGCAUGUUUUUUGGUACUAGCACAAUGCUCAUGCAUUGCUAUGAAACUGCAAAUAUGAGGACUUAUGUCACUGGCUUAGGAAGUUGUCAAAAUAUGUUGGUGUCCUGCGGUCUUUGCACGCGGUUCACGAUUAAAAAGAGCGAAAAUACAAUGAAAGAUCAUGCAGCAGGCAUUGGAGAAUCUUAAGCGAUCAUAGUAGGUCCUUUGCAAGACAUAACAUUGGGCAUUAAUAUGUUGACCGCACAAGUUCAUGGAUCGGGUUCGGGUAGGAGGGCAAGGUCUAUCGUCGCUUUGGAAUUACAAUUUGUUCACUCUCUUGUCCUGUGAUAUAGAACUUGAAGAACUUGGUUGGGAAAAGAAACUGAAAACAAGAGCACAUUUGUUAUUUGUGUCAUCUAUAAGUGUUGGUGUCACAUAAAAGUAGUAGUGUAUUUGUUUAUUUGUGUUAGUUCCCACAUGUGACUAAAAGCACAUUUGUUUAUGUAUGUAUCUUCGAAGGUUGCUAGUCCCACAUGUGGGUAGGCAUGCAUUUGUUUAUUGACAAAGAUUGUUGGUCUCACAUGUGAACUCACCACCAACUCCAACCUUUGUAAGAGCAUCUCUAGCCGAUCCCCUAAAUUUUAGAGGAGUAAAUGGCCGUGUAAACCUUAGUGGAGUAUUUUUACUCCUCUAAGUUUUGGUCGUUUCUAGCCGAUCCCCUAAAUUCAGAGUAAAAUUUUGUUUUUAUCAAAUUCAUUUAAUUUCCGGCAACCGAAAUAAACUUCUCUUAUAUUACUUUAUUAAACGACAUGAUGGUUACACAUUUCACCAAGUCUUCUCUAAGAGAACCGACCAAAGAAAACUACAAGAAUAAUUAGACACUUUAAUAGAAAUCCAAGUGCCCUAACUGCUCCCACUGGUUCGUUUAAUACUUUCUCUAUAUCUUCAGUGCCCACAUUAUUGCUUUUCGCUAUCGACUUCUUGAGCUUGCACACUUUGUUCUUCUCCGCCUACACACAAUUGGACAUCGCGUCGUCUCUAUAGUCUCAACUCUAGCAAGUAGUGUACGAACAUCUAGCAAAUUUCUCCCUACCAAUAGAUUGAUGUAUUCUUCUUCCCAAUACCAAAACUUGCAUCCUUCCUACAUACAAUUUUGAGCAAACAAUAAGUCCCAAAUUGCGACGAAUCUGAAGAAAACCACAAAAUAGCCACUCACCCCGUUGUUUUCGCAUUUGAAGAACACUCAUCCAGGAUGUUUCGGCGUGCUUGAAACUCGGCGCAGCACCAGCCGCGGGUAGUGGUCACACUUGAUGACCGGCAGCAGCGAGCCGACGAGUCGCUGGACUAGUGCUGAGCCCAGGCGACGGCCAGACAUGGCUCUGCCGUUGGUAGGUUGAUGAGUGAGAUCCGAGCGCCGAGAGGACAUACCGAGAUGCGGCGCAGAGUGGUUGAGGGGGCUGCGUGGUUCAGUCCCCGUCGGAUCCAUCGAAAACGUGAUGGCGCCGGCGGCUGGGAUGCAUCGAAUCCGCCGCCGAUGACGAGGGGCCAUAGAUCUGCCGACUUAGGUGCCGUUGGCGGCGAGAGAGGACGAAAUCCGGGUGGGGGAGGAGCGCGGUGGGUCCUCCGGGGGCCAGCGGUGGCGCGUGGUUGCCGACGGAGUAGAUGCGGCGGGGGGUGGGGUUGGUGAGGCCGAGGGAAGAGGGGGGCUGCUUUUGCUUGGGCAGCUGGACGGCCAAGUAAAAAUAGGAGCCCGCAGUGCCGAGGAGCUCUAUUCGGUUUAUGACUUUGGCUAGGUGCCGGUUAGAGGUCUAAACUUCGGCUAGGUGCUCGGGCGGCUGGGCGGCCAAGUAACCGGUUUUAGAGGAUCGGCUAGAGAUGCCCUAAGUAGGAAUAGGAAAGAAGGAAGGAUACCUAUUUCACAGAUCCAAGCAAAAAUCUUCUAUAGUUGGAUCAAGUACACAAGUGAUGCGGUUUCAUGAUAUAUUGAUUGAAUCCCAUUCAUCCUCUAUGAGAUCAUAGGCCAAUAACCUCCAGUCAGAACAGGUUAUUAGGUUACUACGUUGAGAUGGUGAAUGAUAGCAUGCAUCCUAGCUGAAGUAGUAACCUAGUAGUAGAUGCAUACCUUCUUACAGGAACUUAUCCUUCACAAUGGAGACUUUCUAGCUGAUCAGAAUUGAAGAUAUCGUUUUGCUCAAGUUGUUAAUCUUUAAUCUUUAUAGAGAGAGGAUCCAACAAUGCGAUUAACUAGCGAAUCCCUCUAGCGCUUCAAUUGGGACACAGGCAGGGUUAAGAAGUACAGUUGCUCUGGCAGCGGCACUACCAAAGGCUGUCUCGGUGUACCAUUCCUGCAGAAACAAACACCCAUACACAUAAGACCACAAGCCUUCACGCAUACAUCACCAGCUCCGAUCACGCUGCAGGUGGAAGCGGGAAUAAGUGGGACUAGAGUUCCCAUCCCACUUAAAACGCCUUAGUGGGAGCCCGUUGGACAAGAAAGAAAUUAAGUGGGCUAGCCCCUUUAGCCCACUGGAACCCCACUUUUACCCUAUUAGUCCAUCCCGAUAGCUUCUGGUACAGGGAGGGCGGCGCCGCAGCGUACUCCCACCGCCGCCGCCGAUCGAUGGCAGCCGCCGCUGCACGGCUGCCUCUUCCUCCUCGCACCCCGCCUCUUCCGGCUCGCACCUAGCCCCUCCCCUACCUCGCAGCUUCUCCCUACUCCGCCUCACCGCUGUUCCAAUCAAGAAUUCGACGAAACCCUCGACCCUGGCCGGACGCGAUGGGCAGGUCCCCGGCAGCCCCAACCCCGACCCCCAGGUCGCCGGCAGCCCAACCCCGACCCCCAAGGCGCCGGAUGUCCCAACCCCGGACCCCAAGGUGCCGGAUGCGUCAAUCCCGGUGCCCAAGGUGCCGGAUGCGUCGUUGGCAGCAGGUGAUCCAUCAGAUUGAAGAUACUUGCUUGAUUCUUUACUUGAUUCAGUGUAUGAUGCUUGUUAGAGAUUUCCUCUACAUCACAUUCAGUGUAUGAAAUGUUUCCUUACUUGAUUCUUUGCUUUCCUGGGGUAAUUUAUUAACUCAUUAGGACAUGGAUGAUGACUGAUCUUUCAUUGUAUUGAUGUGAAGUACUAAUUGAGGUUCAGAGGUUGCAAUUUGAAAUUUAUGCAAUUCAGGCGAAAUUUUUGUAUAAUAACUUUGCAGAAUGAAAUGAGAUAGAUACUAUCUACGUCGGCUUCGGAAACAUAUAUUCUCCUGAAAUAAUAUCACUAUACUUUUGGUCUUCAAAUGAAAUUUGAGGCUUUUAAGUGAUGUAGUUUAUAAAUCAUCUUCUAUAUCAUGUGUUUCGUGUUGCUACAUGCACAAAAAUCACACAUGAGCCAUAUGACUCCAAGUGCAAUAUUACUGACUAUCUAGCUAGGGGAGGCCAUAAAACUGGUAGAGAUACAUAUACGCGCAUUUGCACGGGCCACUUUGCUACUUACUGUUACAAGAAAAUCAUCAUUCACAAUUGAAGCAAUUUCAUGAGUUCGUUUAUUUUGAAUUAGAGGUCAAGAUUUAGUUUAUGUGCGACAAAUAUUUUGUGUGUGCGGAAUAAAUGGCAAAUCUCGUGGUGGGGAGUUUCUUUUCUUUGGUUUGUUUCCAAUUUUUCUUACAAAAUGGUACUGUGUAGGAUCUCGUGGUGGGGAGCUGCUCCGAGUAAUCAAGCUCGUUGAGUGACAGAACAGCACCUGGUGGAGAAGCAGGACUGCACGGUGCCGGUCGCCGACAUCGGGUACAACGCCGGGGCCUUGGCCGGCUUCCCCCUAUCCGGGCUGCCCCCCUGCUCGCUGAGGGCCCUCCGUAGUGA
RNAcentral lists this long non-coding RNA (6998 nucleotides) under Triticum aestivum (bread wheat). RNAcentral describes it as "long non-coding RNA (TAES_LNC008907)". Lineage: Eukaryota; Viridiplantae; Streptophyta; Magnoliopsida; Poales; Poaceae. The record is from RNAcentral.